UCCGAUUUGUCACCGGCAGUCUCCUUAGAGUGCCCGACUUAACGCUGGCAACUAAGGACAAGGGUUGCGCUCGUUGCGGGACUUAACCCAACAUCUCACGACACGAGCUGACGACAGCCAUGCACCACCUGUGCACAGGCCCCGAAGGGCUGCCGUGUUUCCACGACAUUCCUGUGCAUGUCAAGCCUUGGUAAGGUUCUUCGCGUCGCGUCGAAUUAAUCCACAUGCUCCGCUGCUUGUGCGGGCCCCCGUCAAUUCCUUUGAGUUUCAACCUUGCGGCCGUAGUCCCCAGGCGGUUCACUUAAUGCGUUAGCUGCGGCACCGAGGGAGACCCCCCAACACCUAGUGAACAUCGUUUAUGGCCAAGACUAC
This 372-nucleotide unclassified non-coding RNA is filed under the name uncultured bacterium. Its description in RNAcentral is "contains 16S-23S intergenic spacer region". The record is from RNAcentral.